Molecule: ribosomal RNA, 501 nt
Filed under: uncultured bacterium
Lineage: Bacteria
Description: partial 16S ribosomal RNA
Rfam family: Bacterial small subunit ribosomal RNA
Source: RNAcentral
AUUGAACGCUGGCGGCAGGCUUAACACAUGUAAGUCGAGCGGGGGAAGGUAGCUUGCUACCGGACCUAGCGGCGGACGGGUGAGUAAUGCUUAGGAAUCUGCCUAUUAGUGGGGGACAACAUCUCGAAAGGGAUGCUAAUACCGCAUACGUCCUACGGGAGAAAGCAGGGGAUCUUCGGACCUUGCGCUAAUAGAUGAGCCUAAGUCGGAUUAGCUAGUUGGUGGGGUAAAGGCCUACCAAGGCGACGAUCUGUAGCGGGUCUGAGAGGAUGAUCCGCCACACUGGGACUGAGACACGGCCCAGAGUCCUACGGGAGGCAGCAGUGGGGAAAAUUGGACAAUGGGGGGAACCCUGAUCCAGCCAUGCCGCGUGUGUGAAGAAGGCCUUAUGGUUGUAAAGCACUUUAAGCGAGGAGGAGGCUACUCUAGUUAAUACCUAGGGAUAGUGGACGUUACUCGCAGAAUAAGCACCGGCUAACUCUGUGCCAGCCGCCGCAGUAA